Molecule: ribosomal RNA, 497 nt
Filed under: uncultured bacterium
Lineage: Bacteria
Description: partial 16S ribosomal RNA
Rfam family: Bacterial small subunit ribosomal RNA
Source: RNAcentral
GAUGAACGCUGGCGGCGUGCCUAAUACAUGCAAGUCGAGCGAACAGACGAGGAGCUUGCUCCUCUGACGUUAGCGGCGGACGGGUGAGUAACACGUGGAUAACCUACCUAUAAGACUGGGAUAACUUCGGGAAACCGGAGCAAAUACCGGAUAAUAUAUUGAACCGCAUGGUUCAAUAGUGAAAGACGGUUUUGCUGUCACUUAUAGAUGGAUCCGCGCCGCAUUAGCUAGUUGGUAAGGUAACGGCUUACCAAGGCAACGAUGCGUAGCCGACCUGAGAGGGUGAUCGGCCACACUGGAACUGAGACACGGUCCAGACUCCUACGGGAGGCAGCAGUAGGGAAUCUUCCGCAAUGGGCGAAAGCUUGACGGAGCAACGCCGCGUGAGUGAUGAAGGUCUUCGGAUCGUAAAACUCUGUUAUUAGGGAAGAACAAAUGUGUAAGUAACUAUGCACGUCUUGACGGUACCUAAUCAGAAAGCCACGGCUAACUACGUG